Non-coding RNA from Pelobates cultripes (western spadefoot toad), 225 nucleotides. The record is from the annotation of a GenBank genome assembly. Lineage: Eukaryota; Metazoa; Chordata; Amphibia; Anura; Pelobatidae.
GUAGAUAUUUCAUCCGAUUGGUAGAUAGUCUCAGGAACCUAUUUGGAUGUCUGUCUGCAUUGAGUUAUGGUGAAAGGUGGUGUUGGUUAGAAAGUCAGUGAAAUUCUAAGUGUUAGAGUUUUCAGAGUAGAGUGUUAGUCUCAGAUGUUGUGAGUUGGAGUCCCCAAACUUCCAAUUCCUCUCUCCUCUUUUUCCUUCUCCUUUGCAUCCUCAAUCUUCCCUUUG